This is a long non-coding RNA of Ostrea edulis (European flat oyster), 1001 nucleotides long. RefSeq lists it as uncharacterized. The record is from RefSeq and is a predicted model, not a curated record. The transcript is spliced from 3 exons. Lineage: Eukaryota; Metazoa; Mollusca; Bivalvia; Ostreida; Ostreidae.
GUGAAGGCACAGGAUGGUGAAGUGCUUCGCCCGUCAUGCGUCAUAAACGGAUCGUAUUAUGGAAUGGCGCAGAAGAACUAUUGACACAGGACGGGCACGAUCGUUAAAAAAUACAAGGACAGAGGAAGGUUGGGCUAAUUGAUACAAAAGAUGAUGAUUAUGUUUGUGAGUAUUUUUCUAUACCACACCGAAGGCGUGGUAAACCAUCCAAUCCAGUUACAGGGGUCUCCGAUAGUUAUCUUCUCCCUAUCAACUCUAUUGAACAUUUCGAAGCUGAUUGACGAAGCUAACAGAUGCCCUAGCCAAACCGAAAACGGUCUGUGUUCUUGGACUUGGGUACACGAUAUAGAGGAGACUAGAAUACCGAGGAUUAUUUAUAAGGCUGAAAAACUCGCAGAUUCCCCGUGUGAGAGAGACCCCAACAAAGAAUGCAGAAGUGAAAGGAAACAGUUCGACGUCAUGUACCUGACCCAGAAUUCCCUAGGAGUCUAUCAACUUUUACCUCACGUCGAGGAAUUUCCGGUUGCUAUGGUUUGUGCUAAUAAACAAACAGAAUAUGUGGUGGUGAACAGUGAGGACGUUGAUUACAACGUGUUUGACUAGGCAUCUAGCUGUGGCUGUUUUUAAACCAAUCAAGCUUCUUCACUACAUUGAUGUAGGGAGGAUCAAUGUAAUUUAAGGAGGUGGAGUGCUUAGUACUUAAUCUACUCUGAACCCCUCCUCUAAGUUUACACGAGAGAGUAAACAAAAGACAGGGGCGGAUCUAGAAAAUUUCAGAAGACGGGAUGGGGAUGGAUUGCCGACUACAAGAGAACUAUUUUAGUUACAAUUGUUCAACCAUAGAGUAGGGGGGGGGGGGGUCAAACCCCGUAUCCCCCUCCUUCCAGAUCUAUAUAACGCCAAAUUAACAAAUGCAAAUAUUUGUACCUGUCUUCAAAUGAAAUGAAAUAAUAUUCCAAUGUAUUGAAUAUAGAUAUAAUUGAAUUAAAGAUAGACUUGAA